This is a long non-coding RNA of Echinops telfairi (small Madagascar hedgehog), 3482 nucleotides long. RefSeq lists it as uncharacterized. The transcript is spliced from 3 exons. NCBI's taxonomy places the organism in Eukaryota, Metazoa, Chordata, Mammalia, Afrosoricida, Tenrecidae. The record is from RefSeq and is a predicted model, not a curated record.
AUAUGCAUUAUUGAAUGGUAUGAUAGAUGGUGAAGUGCCACUAAAAACUGUUGAAAAAUAAGAUAAAAUGCUCAGGACAGCCCUUGGCUUGUGACAGGCACUCAAUUAGCUAUUAGCAUUGAUCCGCAUGCACACGCAAAGGGCAAGCCCUCCUCAGUGGAGUCUUUCACGGUUGUGUUGGCUGCGCUGGGGUAUGGAAACAGCAGAACAUGGAGGCCCACCUGACAUGCCAACUGUCCCUUUAGGGGAGUAGAAGUCAAAUGAAUUAGGAAGGAGGUAACAGCUCCUCUGGCUGGGCCUUGUCUCUGGGGGAUUCUUUCAAGGACACGCUGGUUCCCACAGAAAAGUGCCUGGCUCCUUGGGUAACUGUUCUGUUUGUGGGAAGAGGUUUGGUGUUCAUGAUGCUCUUGUAGAUGGUGUUUGUUUGUUUGCCUGUUUGCUGUUGUUGCUCUAAGCACUUCCUGCCCCACCCCCCACCCCCAGGAAUCCAUAGGAGCAUUCUGCCCCCAGAGGGAUGCCAGGCUGGGCUCCGUGUAAACAAUCCAUGCUGUGCACGGGCCAGAUGGCUCCACACAGCAAGCUUUGUUAUUUCAUUCACACACAAAAAAGUCAGAAACAAGCUGAUUUGGCCAUUUUUGGCCCACUGGAAGAGUAAACAACUCUCUUUUGAUUUGCAAGCUUAUUUUGACGGAACUCAGUUGUGCAGGUAGAUGAACACAGGUACAAAUAAGAACUCCGAAAGUCAUUGCUGGUCAGACGUGGACAACUCAGACAGAACACACAUAAGGGCAAGGCUCCAAGUCCACUUAUGCUUCCCACUCUGCAAGUUCUCGUGUUCUCUCAUCUCGGCCUUCUGCUCUCCCCAACAUCCUCCCAAGGUUAUUGCAGAAAGACAUGUUUGAAUGCUUAGAAUUUGAUCAAGCUGACACUAAUUUAAAGGCAUAUGGCUGUUUUUACAUCUAAUCAAGUUUGAUUUAGAAGAAAAGGAAAAAGAAAUAAUGUGAGGCUCAGUGCACUGGGGCUUAGAAUGCCUCACUCCAAAAUCUGAGAACAAAGAUUAGACUGGGAGUUAGGAGAACCAAGUCUUCACCCUAGUUCUGCCUCCCUUCAUUUUAAUUUUUAAUAAUGUUUUAAAGAAGUGUGAUGGUUACAUAAAAAUUGCACAAAAAGUACAUCGAGUUCCCAAGCGCCUCCUCUGCCCUUGGCCCAGUCUCUCCUGUUCUUGACAUUCUUGCAUCCUUGCAUUGGUCCAGUUGGUGGACCAGUAUUGAUAAGACUAUUAUUAACCAAGGAACCCUGGGAGCGCUAUCAAGUACGCAUCGCAUCGAGCUGCAAGGCCUGCUCUUCCACUCCUCAGAAGAAAGGACCUGUACAUGGACCAAGAGACAGUCAUUCAAACAGAACAAGGGGGUACCGCCUCGUGUAACAUCUGGAAAGGUGUGUAGCAGAGUUGUUUCCUGUCACCAACUUUGCUCAACCUGCAUGCUGCCCAGUGAAUCCAAGAAGCUGAUCUACAUGAAUGAGGCAUCAAGACCGGAGGAAGGAGUCCCUCAAUAGCACCAGUGGGUAAGUGCUUAACGACUAGUGGGUUCAACCUCCCCAGAAACCCCUUGGAACACAGACUGCUUCCGAAAGGUCCCCGCCGUGAAGCGCCUAUGGAGCACAGUUCUACUCGGGACACCUGGGUUUGCUGGGAGUUGGCAUCGGAACCAGCUUGAUGGCAAGUACUAGCACUAUGCCUCUCCCCGCCCUGUUUACCUUCUGUGGCUGGAUGCAGAUGCUGAAGCUGCAGGACGUCCAGGAGCCACACAAGAAAGAAGUCUGGCCUUGGGGCAUCUGCCUCAACCAGUAUGGGAAUGGGAAAUGAAUUUCUAUUGUAUUUGAUUAUUCGACACUUGGGAUCUUUUUGUUUUUGUAGUUUAGCUAGUUCCCUAAUACAGAAAUUGGCUUCAGAAGGGGAAAGGCUAUGUAAUAAAUACCUACAACAUGCAGCCCUUGUUUGCUUGUUGUGCAGUCGGAAACGAGCACUCAUUGGCCUUGAGUCCAUUUCUGACUCACGGUGACCCUAUGGGCCAGGGUUACACUGGCCCUGUGGGUGUCCGAGACUGUAACUCUUUUCAGGCGUAGAAACCCUUCUCCUUGUCCUGGGGGCUGGCUGGUGAUGGCGAACUGCUGGCCUUUCCGUUAGCAGCCCAGUAAAGUGAACACGACACGACGCCACCAGGGCUUCAGGGAAGGAAACAGGAAUGGGCUGUAAAAAUGGCAAUUCACAUUCUGGAAUGGCAAAAUAUCUGUUAAAACUGUUUCUUUUGGAAGGAAGGUCGAGUGGCUAUCAAGCCUGUAGCUCAAGGUAAAGUUAUGAAAAAGAGGCAGGGUGUUCGUGUGUGUUCGAGUUGAGGUUCUUGUAGCAUGUGUUACAAGAGAAAUCUGGUUUCUUGCAAGAGUUGAUUAGCUUGUUGAACGGAAAUAAAAAAGGAAUGAAGAGAAUCACAAAAUUUGGGAAAGCUUAUUUAUUCUAGACUCCAAACAGUAAGAAAGAAGAUUGUCAAGAGAGAGAGAAGAAAGGAAACACACACACACACACACACACACACACACACAGCUUUGAGAGGACAAAGACCCAGUAAGAACUCUUAGUUAAAUAUAGGAGCUCAAACUUGCAAGAAAGAUCAGAUUAAGAGUGUAGCCUCUCCCCACAGGCCUAUUGUUCUGACGGCCUCAAGGUGGCUGAGGGAAAGCCAGGGAGACAAACGCUUUAUGCUUUAGAACGAUGCCUAGGAAAGAGCUCUGGGUGUGGUGUCUGGCACUUGGAAUUAAUUGGAAGCAAAUAAACGAGGAGCUUGUGAAUUUUUGGUUUAUCAGGAAAUCACAAGCUUGCGUGAAAUAAUCUUUGAUUGGUCAAGCCUUACCUUUGGGAUCUAAAUUUGCAUGAGCAGGAAGUUGGCUUUUUUGAAGGUUGUCUACAAGAAGGGCACUUUGGAUGUGGUCACAAAGGACAGUGUUGGGCAAGGAAGGAAAUCUUAGAGGGCAGUUUAAGGAGCCCCAGAGAAUAAUGGACAAGGAGUUCCUUCCAGGAAGCCGAUGAAAGGCUAAGGAAGGAAUCUCCCCACACCCCAGGAGGCAGAGGAUCUUCACCCUGCUCAGCCAGCAGAAUUCCAUCUCUGCUGUAAAUAAGAACUGCUGCGUAUUCCUCGUUCUUUCUUUUAUGAAUGGGACUUUGAUGGCACUUAAGCAAGUACCUCCGUGGUACAUGAUGGGUGUUCGAGGCGUGGAUAGCUGGCCUUUUACUUAAUAGGUUACUGGACCCUGAGGAUUGAGAAGACAUGUAUCCUCAAGAGUCCUGGACUUGGAGAGAGCAGCAUGAGGCUCAGGGCGACCUUCCUCGAGGCCCACAUGGGAAUAACCUCUCUGUGGGAAAACUCACUGCCAUCGAGUCAAUGAUGACUCAUAGCAGCCCUAUAGGACAGAGUAGACCUGCUCCU